This 253-nucleotide ribosomal RNA is filed under the name uncultured bacterium. RNAcentral describes it as "partial 16S ribosomal RNA". It matches the Rfam family "Bacterial small subunit ribosomal RNA", at positions 524 to 776 of the family's 1533-position model. The record is from RNAcentral.
UACGGAAGGGGCAAGCGUUGUUCGGAAUCAUUGGGCGUAAAGGGCGCGUAGGUGGUCCUGUAUGUCUACCGUGAAAGCAUACAGCUCAACUGUAUUUUGUCGGUAGAAACUGCAGGACUUGAGGCUGGGAGGGGCUGGUGGAAUUCCCUGUGUAGCGGUGAAAUGCGUAGAGAUGGGGGAGAACACUCGUGGCGAAGGCGGCCAGCUAGACCAGUUCUGACACUGAGGCGCGACAGCGUGGGGAGCAAACAGG